GUGACAAUGUUUCUUUGUGCGUUAGCUAUCAGUCUUCACGUGCUUCAUCACACAAUGUGAUAAAGUGGAUUAACGCUUACGUUGUAGGUUAUUAAAUACACCAACUUAGCAGUAAAAGCGGAACACAUACGAAGAGACCUACUAUAAAUGCAAAGUUGCAUUCAACAAUAACAUGAAUAGAAUAAACGAGUGCUCUUGUUACGCUCGUACACCUUUUUUUCAGGGGGCCUAGACAAUCUUCAACUACAAUGCCACAUGAAAUUCCCUGUAGACGCGCAACCGAGGUAAAAGCCGACAGAGCACUAAGUUCGCGAAUAUAUAUGCGAUUAAUAGCAAUCGUUGGCUAGCCAUUGCGGCCGCCGUUGUUUUGCGACAAUGGGAUGCAUCGCAAGGGAUAUGUGCAUCAGUAGAACUAUUGCCUUGCCUUCCGUGACACGUGCACAGAUAUAGAUUGCCUGAUCAUCUAUGUGCAGCGUCAUCUGCUAACAACAAACAGACCAAUAGCGUCUGAACAGUAACGACAUUCGAUGUGCUACGCAAUACUACUUCUAACAACAAAAUAUCUGGGCCGACUUGUUCAACCCAAAACAUAAACGUGAGCAGAUCACCGGGACGAUGUUGUCGUAGGCGCUUACGGAGCAUUUAGGGCGACGUCGACAUUCAGCCUUCUCGUCAAGGUACCGUUAUCGUGCUGUCUCGUAAAGCCUUUGAAGAUCGGCUGAAUUUAUCUACGGCGAUUAUUUCAGUUCCUUUAGUCGCA
Varroa destructor (honeybee mite) is the source of this 760-nucleotide long non-coding RNA. RefSeq lists it as uncharacterized. The record is from RefSeq and is a predicted model, not a curated record. Lineage: Eukaryota; Metazoa; Arthropoda; Arachnida; Mesostigmata; Varroidae.